UACGUAGGGCGCAAGCGUUGUCCGGAAUUAUUGGGCGUAAAGAGCUCGUAGGCGGUCUGUCGCGUCUGCCGUGAAAACCCGAGGCUUAACCUCGGGCUGGCGGUGGAUACGGGCAGACUAGAGUGCGGUAGGGGAGAUUGGAAUUCCUGGUGUAGCGGUGGAAUGCGCAGAUAUCAGGAGGAACACCGAUGGCGAAGGCAGAUCUCUGGGCCGUAACUGACGCUGAGGAGCGAAAGCAUGGGGAGCGAACAGG
This 253-nucleotide ribosomal RNA is filed under the name uncultured bacterium. RNAcentral describes it as "partial 16S ribosomal RNA". It matches the Rfam family "Bacterial small subunit ribosomal RNA", at positions 524 to 776 of the family's 1533-position model. The record is from RNAcentral.